GCGGACGUGGCGAAACUGGUAGACGCAAGGGACUUAAAAUCCCUCGACCUCGGUCAUACGGGUUCGAUCCCCGUCGUCCGCACCA
This 85-nucleotide transfer RNA is filed under the name Rhizobium deserti. Its description in RNAcentral is "Rhizobium sp. SPY-1 tRNA-Leu". It matches the Rfam family "tRNA". Rfam says of the family: Transfer RNA (tRNA) molecules are approximately 80 nucleotides in length. Lineage: Bacteria; Pseudomonadati; Pseudomonadota; Alphaproteobacteria; Hyphomicrobiales; Rhizobiaceae. The record is from RNAcentral.